Chelonia mydas (Green sea turtle) is the source of this 1328-nucleotide long non-coding RNA. RefSeq lists it as uncharacterized. The transcript has 3 exons. NCBI's taxonomy places the organism in Eukaryota, Metazoa, Chordata, Testudines, Cheloniidae. The record is from RefSeq and is a predicted model, not a curated record.
AGUCACUCACUGUCAAGUGUUUUUCCAGAAUCACAACACAGCAGAGUCUCAAGGAGGGAUUCAAAGGAGGAUCAGGUGUUGGUUGCACAGAUUUUCUCAGGGAGUUUUCUCCAUACAGAUAGGGCAGCAUGGGAGAAAAUGCAAAGACACAGAGGAGCCCUGGCAGGUGCUUAGGUGCAACCAGUGCAGUGAGUGAGGGGACAGCAAGUCAGGCUGGCAAUGAAGGGACAUCUCUCCACUCCGGUGCUGUGGCUUCUUCUCCUCACAAUUCAGGACACAGCAGGUGCUGAGGAGCUGAGGCUGGCGGAUGGAGGCAGCCCCUGUGCCGGGAGAGUGGAGGUUAAACACCAGGAUCAGUGGGGGACGGUGUGUCAUUUGGGCUGGGACAAGACAGAUGCUGGGGUUGUUUGUAAGCAGUUGGAAUGUGGAGUUGCUGUCAGUGCCCAUCGUAAUGCUCAUUUUGGAGCAGGAUCUGGACCAAUUUGGCUGGAUAACAUUGCCUGUCGUGGUACCGAGUCUGCUCUCUGGCAGUGCCGGAACAGGGGAUGGGGUAAGCAUUAUUGUGAUCAUGGCCUGGAUGCUGGAGUGACCUGUUCAGGUAAGAAUCAGCCACCUCUGUCCUGAAAGACAAAUCCCCUGAGACAAAAGGGCUUGAACCCACAGCGUGUUGUGUGCCUGUGACCCUAACGAGAAAUGAACAAAAAGGAGAGCAAGUCCUGUAAUGAUUGUUAUUACUGAGCUGUAAUUAUUACUGUUCAUGUCUCUGGCCACUGAGGAGCCCCAUGUGUGACUGUGCAGCAUUUUCAUUAUCUCAUUUCCAGUUGUUUCAGUGCCACAUCUUUCCUUUCCCUUUCCCUCUGAAUGGGUCUAAAAAUGCAGAUAGGAGAGAAAAUGGAAAAGGAAAAUGUCACAUAGGCUCCUAAGUCACUGAGGCACUUUUGAAAAUGUUACACUCAUGCUAAAAUCCAGACCCAGAAACCCAACCCCAGAGGUACAGAGGCUGGGGCAUGUAUGUAGCCCCUUUGCCACCCUCAUAGGGUGACCAAGGAAUGGGCAGAUUCUCCCAGCUUGGCCAGAAUUAGAUUUCGCCAAAAGCACUCCCCCCUCUGCUCUGUUACUUCUCACAUUUUGUACCAACCAGUAACAGAAAAUUUCACACUCUCUGAUACCCUGUAGAUCUAGAGUAGAAUAGAGAGCUCAGCCAAAAAUAUACCUCAACCCUACACAGCACAGGGAUAUCAUAUUAUGGAGGCAUUUGUUGUAACUGAAUAGUUAACAUUACAGCUACAGACCCAUUAUAAGUUUUAUUUUUAAGUUCUCUCCUCUGA